Molecule: non-coding RNA, 96 nt
Organism: Lachnoclostridium sp. An298
Lineage: Bacteria; Bacillati; Bacillota; Clostridia; Lachnospirales; Lachnospiraceae
Source: Rfam
UGAUAGCGAUGAAGCGUGAGGUUGCUGCCGGAGCGAAAAGAUAAGCGAAAGCAGGUUUUCCGUGGAGCGAAUGUCAAGUUAGGAAACUGGCGACAA